Molecule: ribosomal RNA, 408 nt
Filed under: uncultured bacterium
Lineage: Bacteria
Description: partial 16S ribosomal RNA
Rfam family: Bacterial small subunit ribosomal RNA
Source: RNAcentral
GACGAACGCUGGGGGCGUGCCUAAUACAUGCAAGUAGGACGCAGUUGCGAACGGGGGAGUAAUACGUGGGUAACCUGCCCUCCUUUUUGGGAUAAGCCUUGGAAACGGGGUCUAAUACCGAAUAAAGGGGGAUGGGCUCGCGGCCUAUCGGGUGGUGGGUGGGGCGAUGGCCUACCAAGGCGGUGACGGGUAGCCGGCCUGAGAGGGUGAAGAGCCUCAUUGGGACUGAUAUCCGGCCCAGACUCCUACGGGAGGCAGCCGUGCGGGAUAUUGCACAAUGGGCGAAAGACUGCUGCAGCGACGCCGCGUGGAGGAUGAAGUCUUGCGGGUUGUAAACCUCUUUCGCUAUCGACGGGGUAGGUGGAGCUGAAGCGCCGGCUAACUACGUGCCAGCCGCCGCGCUAAUAC